RNAcentral lists this ribosomal RNA (448 nucleotides) under uncultured bacterium. RNAcentral's name for it is "bacterial SSU rRNA". It matches the Rfam family "Bacterial small subunit ribosomal RNA", at positions 330 to 795 of the family's 1533-position model. The record is from RNAcentral.
GCCAGACUCCUACGGGAGGCAGCAGUGGGGAAUAUUGCACAAUGGGGGGAACCCUGAUGCAGCAAUGCCGCGUGGGUGAAGAAGCACUCCGGUGCGUAAAGCCCUGUCAGCAGGGAAGAAAAUGACAGUACCUGGACAAGAAGCUCCGGCUAACUACGUGCCAGCAGCCGCGGUAAUACGUAGGGAGCAAGCGUUAUCCGGAAUUAUUGGGUGUAAAGGGUGCGUAGACGGGAUAACAAGUUGGUUGUGAAACCCCUCGGCUCAACUGAGGAACUGCAACCAAAACUAUUAUUCUUGAGUGCAGGAGAGGCAGGCGAAAUUCCUAGUGUAGCGGUGAAAUGCGUAGAUAUUAGGAGGAACACCAGUGGCGAAGGCGGCCUGCUGGACUGUAACUGACGUUGAGGCUCGAAAGCGUGGGGAGCAAACAGGAUUAGAUACCCCCGUAAAC